This is a long non-coding RNA of Manis javanica (Malayan pangolin), 797 nucleotides long. RefSeq lists it as uncharacterized. NCBI's taxonomy places the organism in Eukaryota, Metazoa, Chordata, Mammalia, Pholidota, Manidae. The record is from RefSeq and is a predicted model, not a curated record.
CCAUUAGUUACAAGUUCCGCAAACACAAUGUUCCUUCAGGAGUACUGAUACAAGUUCAGCCCCCAGAGAACACAGGGAUCCAGGUGGCCUGGCAACUGAAGACCCCGUUCAUCUGACAGCAUCGGCACCAAGGGGCAAAGACAGCAGACAGCAACGGGGAUGAGAUGAACUGAAGGAAGUCUGGCCAGGCCCAGAAUACAGGAUGCGGGGAGACAGCCAGGUUAUGAGAACCGGAGUCGCGGACGCUGAUGGAAGCACUGAAGCGUGAGAAGGGAGGCCAGGCCUCUGAGCUCCUCAGUUCGCCUGGCUCUCCGGCUGGAAGGUCUGGAAGUGAAAGAGCAGAAGACAAAGACGAGGGCUGCCUCUGUGUCCUACGAAGACAGUGGGACCCGGGACCUGGGAAUGAGCCAAAAGGGGGGUGUCCCGGGAGGGCCGAGGAGCCCCGGCCACAGUCGGUGGGGAGCCAGACAUUUGGAGCUGGAAGCCAGGGAGCCCCAGGCAGCGGGCGAAGAGCGGGGACCAGGACACCCCCGCGCCGAGCUCACCCCAGAGAGAAAGCCACGGCGAGGCGGAGGCGGCCUGCAGGGCAGGGAGAGGCCAGCUCGUCCCAGCGCCGCCUGCGGCACCCCAGCCAAACGGAAUACCGACUCGGUUGGGUGGACGGACAGCAUUUCUGCGGUCCCGCUCUUUGUGGGCAACACGGUCAGGGCGCAGGGGCCGGGCCGGGAAGGCUCCGGGGCAGGUCGGGCCGCAGGGCUUCUUAAUUAGAAACAGGGACGAAGGGCGGAGCCUGCGGU